This 393-nucleotide ribosomal RNA is filed under the name uncultured bacterium. Its description in RNAcentral is "partial 16S ribosomal RNA". It matches the Rfam family "Bacterial small subunit ribosomal RNA", at positions 523 to 918 of the family's 1533-position model. The record is from RNAcentral.
AUACGGAAGGUCCGGGCGUUAUCCGGAUUUAUUGGGUUUAAAGGGAGCGCAGGCGGAGAUGCAAGCGUGACGUCAAAUUUCGGGGCUCAACCCCGUCUCGCGUCGCGAACUGCGUCCCUUGGUUGCGGGAAGGGGAGGCGGAACUCGUGGUGUAGCGGUGAAAUGCAUAGAUAUCACGAAGAACUCCGAUCGCGAAGGCAGCCUUCCGGCCCGUCAACGACGCUCAUGCUCGAAGGUGCGGGUAUCAAACAGGAUUAGAUACCCUGGUAGUCCGCACAGUAAACGAUAGACACCCGCGGUUUGGCCUAUAUGGCUGAGCCGCCAAGCGAAAGCGUUAAGUGUCCCACCUGGGGAGUACGCCGGCAACGGUGAAACUCAAAGGAAUUGACGGGG